RNAcentral lists this ribosomal RNA (526 nucleotides) under uncultured bacterium. Its description in RNAcentral is "bacterial SSU rRNA". It matches the Rfam family "Bacterial small subunit ribosomal RNA", at positions 985 to 1509 of the family's 1533-position model. The record is from RNAcentral.
CAUCCAGAGAACUUAGCAGAGAUGCUUUGGUGCCCUUUCGGGAACUCUGAGACAGGUGCUGCAUGGCUGUCGUCAGCUCGUGUUGUGAAAUGUUGGGUUAAGUCCCGNAACGAGCGCAACCCUUAUCCUUUGUUGCCAGCGGCUCGGCCGGGAACUCAAAGGAGACUGCCGGUGAUAAACCGGAGGAAGGUGGGGAUGACGUCAAGUCAUCAUGGCCCUUACGGCCAGGGCUACACACGUGCUACAAUGGCGCAUACAAAGAGAAGCGACCUCGCGAGAGCAAGCGGACCUCAUAAAGUGCGUCGUAGUCCGGAUUGGAGUCUGCAACUCGACUCCAUGAAGUCGGAAUCGCUAGUAAUCGUAGAUCAGAAUGCUACGGUGAAUACGUUCCCGGGCCUUGUACACACCGCCCGUCACACCAUGGGAGUGGGUUGCAAAAGAAGUAGGUAGCUUAACCUUCGGGAGGGCGCUUACCACUUUGUGAUUCAUGACUGGGGUGAAGUCGUAACAAGGUAGGCGUACGUGU